Molecule: ribosomal RNA, 253 nt
Filed under: uncultured bacterium
Lineage: Bacteria
Description: partial 16S ribosomal RNA
Rfam family: Bacterial small subunit ribosomal RNA
Source: RNAcentral
UACAGAGGUCUCGAGCGUUAGGCGGAAUCACUGGGCUUAAAGCGUGUGUAGGUGGAUCGUUAAGUACCUUGUGAAAUCCCACGGCUUAACCGUGGAACUGCUUGGUAUACUGGCGGUCUUGAGCCACUUAGGGGCUACCGGAACAAAUGGUGGAGCGGUGAAAUGCGUAGAUAUUCGGAAGAACACCAGUGGCGAAGGCGACUCACUGGACACGUAUUGACGCUGAGGUGCGAAAGCGUGGGGAGCAAACAGG